AUUGAACGCUGGCGGCAUGCCUUACACAUGCAAGUCGAACGGCAGCACGGGUGCUUGCACCUGAUGGCGAGUGGCGAACGGGUGAGUAAUACAUCGGAACGUACCUUAUCGUGGGGGAUAACGCAGCGAAAGCUGUGCUAAUACCGCAUACGCCCUGAGGGGGAAAGCGGGGGAUCGAAAGACCUCGCGCGAUUAGAGCGGCCGAUGCCUGAUUAGCUUGUUGGUGGGGUAAAAGCCCACCAAGGCCACGAUCGGUAGCUGGUCUGAGAGGACGAUCAGCCACACUGGGACUAGGACACGGCCCAGACUCCUACGGGAGGCAGCAGUGGGGAAUUUUGGACAAUGGGGGCAACCCUGGACCAGCAAUGCCGCGUGAGUGAAGAAGGCCUUCGGGUUGUAACGCUCUUUUGUCAGGGAAGAAACACCGGCUCUAACACAGUCCGGGAAUGACGGUACCUGAAGAAUAAGCACCGGCUAACUACGUGCCAGCCGCCGCGGUAA
Molecule: ribosomal RNA, 501 nt
Filed under: uncultured bacterium
Lineage: Bacteria
Description: partial 16S ribosomal RNA
Rfam family: Bacterial small subunit ribosomal RNA
Source: RNAcentral